This 393-nucleotide ribosomal RNA is filed under the name Triticum aestivum (bread wheat). RNAcentral's name for it is "partial small subunit ribosomal RNA". Lineage: Eukaryota; Viridiplantae; Streptophyta; Magnoliopsida; Poales; Poaceae. The record is from RNAcentral.
AUGCAACCUGCCGUCUUCAGAGCCUUGCUCCAUUUCAUUUAUACUGAUUCUUUGCCUCAUGGCGCCAGGGACCUUGAGGGAGAUGAAGAUAUCGAGAUGGUCCGGCUUUUACUCGUGGCUGCGGACAGAUAUGCCAUGGACAGACUCAAGAUGGUAUGCCAAAGCAUCCUUUGCAGGGAUCUGAAUGCGGACACCGUGGCGACAACAUUGGCUUUAGCUGACCAACAUAACUGCCACAAGCUUAAGGAUGCUUGCCUUGAAUUUAUUGAAAGAUCAGAUGACAAUGCUAUGGAUGGCGUGGUGGCAACCCAAGGCUUCAAAGAUCUCAAAGUGACUUGCCCAUCUCUCAUAGUGGACGUACUGGAGAACAGAAGAAAGCUUCGUAAAGCAUGA